Molecule: ribosomal RNA, 647 nt
Filed under: uncultured marine bacterium
Lineage: Bacteria
Description: bacterial SSU rRNA
Rfam family: Bacterial small subunit ribosomal RNA
Source: RNAcentral
GUUGGCGAUAUACUGUCAGCGGCCAAGCGAAAGUAUUAAGUGAUGCACCUGGGGAGUACGCCGGCAACGGUGAAACUCAAAGGAAUUGACGGGGGCCCGCACAAGCGGUGGAGCAUGUGGUUUAAUUCGAUGAUACGCGAGGAACCUUACCAGGGCUUAAAUGUAGUAUGACCGGCUUAGAAAUAGGCCUUCUCUUCGGAGCAGAUUACAAGGUGCUGCAUGGUUGUCGUCAGCUCGUGCCGUGAGGUGUUAGGUUAAGUCCUGCAACGAGCGCAACCCCUAUUCUUAGUUGCCAGCGGUUCGGCCGGGGACUCUAAGAAGACUGCCAGCGCAAGCUGAGAGGAAGGUGGGGAUGACGUCAAAUCAUCACGGCCCUUACGUCCUGGGCUACACACGUGCUACAAUGGUAGAGACAGAGGGCAGCCACCUGGUGGCAGGGAGCGAAUCCUUAAACUCUAUCUCAGUUCGGAUCGAAGUCUGCAACUCGACUUCGUGAAGCUGGAAUCGCUAGUAAUCGCGCAUCAGCCAUGGCGCGGUGAAUACGUUCCCGGGCCUUGUACACAUCGCCCGUCAAGCCAUGGAAGCUGGGGGCACCUGAAGUCGGUAACCGUAAGGAGCCGCCUAGGGUGAAACUGGUAACUAGGGCU